RNAcentral lists this microRNA (25 nucleotides) under Sus scrofa (pig). RNAcentral's name for it is "ssc-mir45". Lineage: Eukaryota; Metazoa; Chordata; Mammalia; Artiodactyla; Suidae. The record is from RNAcentral.
UUGGGGGGAGCAGAGGGUGGCACUC